UCACUUGUUCUUUAAAUGAGGACUAGAAUCAACGGCAUCACGAGGACCCCACUGUCUCCCCCCUCCAAUCAGUGAAACUGAUCUCUCCGUGAAGAAGCGGAGAUAUAAAUAUAAGACGAGAAGACCCCAUGGAGCUUUAAACCCAACAACACCCAUUUUAUUUUUACCCAUAUAUUAACUAGGAUUUGUUUGUUUGGUUUUAGGUUGGGGUGACCACGGAGCACAAAAUAACCUCCAUGAAAAAAGGACUCAAAAUCCUUAUCAAAGAAGCACACUUCUAAGAAUUAAUAAAUUAAUUUUUAAUGAUCCGAUAUUCGAUCAACGAACCAAGUUACCCUGGGGAUAACAGCGCAAUCCACCUUAAGAGCUCCUAUCGACAGG
RNAcentral lists this ribosomal RNA (381 nucleotides) under Boophis septentrionalis. RNAcentral describes it as "partial 16S ribosomal RNA". It matches the Rfam family "Bacterial large subunit ribosomal RNA", at positions 1965 to 2512 of the family's 2925-position model. Lineage: Eukaryota; Metazoa; Chordata; Amphibia; Anura; Mantellidae. The record is from RNAcentral.